AGCUGAGUGAGGUGUUGGUAUCUUGCAACGCAGAAUUUCACCUUAAAUCUCCGACGAAGCAGCGUGCGACAGUCUUCAGGGAAAGUCUUUGGGACGAUAAUCAGGAUCAUCAACAGCUUCAACGAGUUUGGCAAUGCACGACGUUGGUGGGACAGGACCACCAAUGGUAGGGCUGACGCGAGGAGGCGGGAGUUGGAGAAAGGGAGAAACAGGGUCUUCCCAAAAUGGCUGAUAUCGAGCACGUACUCCUUGAGAGUCUCGGUGGAUGGAUGGCUUCGCUCAUUCUGCAAGGAAUUCCAUGAGAGGUAUUUCAAUCGGGAACGACGAAAGCGAAGGCAGACGCGAGAGAGAAAGACGAGAAGGAAGAUGAAGAAGAAGAAGAAGAAGAAGAGGAGGAAGAAGAAGAAGACGA
This is a long non-coding RNA of Macrobrachium nipponense, 412 nucleotides long. RefSeq lists it as uncharacterized. The record is from RefSeq and is a predicted model, not a curated record. NCBI's taxonomy places the organism in Eukaryota, Metazoa, Arthropoda, Malacostraca, Decapoda, Palaemonidae. The transcript has 3 exons.